UUGGAGGGCAAGUCUGGUGCCAGCAGCCGCGGUAAUUCCAGCUCCAAUAGCGUAUAUUAAAGUUGUUGCAGUUAAAAAGCUCGUAGUUGAACUUCGGGAUCAAUGAGUUGGUCGUGCCUUUGGUAUGAACUGGCUUUAUUGGUUCUCACCUUCUAAUGAACCAUAAUGUCAUUCAUUUGAUGUUUUGGGGAAUUAGGACUGUUACCUUGAAAAAAUUAGAGUGUUUAAAGCAGGCUCACGCUUGAAUACAUUAGCAUGGAAUAAUGAAAUAGGACAUCGCAUUCUAUUUUGUUGGUUUCUAGGAUCGAUGUAAUGAUUAAUAGGGAUAGUUGGGGGCAUUAGUAUUCAAUUGUCAGAGGUGAAAUUCUUGGAUUUAUUGAAGACUAACUACUGCGAAAGCAUUUGCCAAGGAUGUUUUCAUUAAUCAAGAACGAAAGUUAGGGGAUCGAAGACGAUCAGAUACCGUCGUAGUCUUAACCAUAAACUAUGCCGACUAGGGAUCGGAUGAUGUUAAUUUUUUAAUGUACUC
RNAcentral lists this ribosomal RNA (529 nucleotides) under uncultured Glomeraceae. RNAcentral describes it as "SSU rRNA". It matches the Rfam family "Eukaryotic small subunit ribosomal RNA", at positions 548 to 1081 of the family's 1831-position model. The record is from RNAcentral. Lineage: Eukaryota; Fungi; Glomeromycota; Glomeromycetes; Glomerales; Glomeraceae.